This is an unclassified non-coding RNA of Chelonoidis abingdonii (Abingdon island giant tortoise), 168 nucleotides long. Lineage: Eukaryota; Metazoa; Chordata; Testudines; Testudinidae. The record is from Ensembl.
UUGACAAGCCUGAAUAUUGAAGUCUUCUAUCUACUGAAGAGAUAAAGCAAAGGUAGCAGCAAUGUAACCUUCCUCCACACUAACUGAUGUGCUUCAGCCCUGACCUGAACAGACCAUAUCUACAGAAGAAAGGGAGUUCAGUUUAAGCCCAUUCAAUCCUGAGCCUCU